GGGAAUGUGGCUUAGUGGUAGAGUGCUUGCCUACCAUGCAUGAAGCCCUGGGUUCAAUUCCUCAGUACCA
Molecule: non-coding RNA, 70 nt
Organism: Dipodomys ordii (Ord's kangaroo rat)
Lineage: Eukaryota; Metazoa; Chordata; Mammalia; Rodentia; Heteromyidae
Source: Rfam